RNAcentral lists this transfer RNA (76 nucleotides) under Caldifarciminota bacterium. RNAcentral's name for it is "tRNA-His". It matches the Rfam family "tRNA". Rfam says of the family: Transfer RNA (tRNA) molecules are approximately 80 nucleotides in length. Their secondary structure includes four short double-helical elements and three loops (D, anti-codon, and T loops). Further hydrogen bonds mediate the characteristic L-shaped molecular structure. tRNAs have two regions of fundamental functional importance: the anti-codon, which is responsible for specific mRNA codon recognition, and the 3' end, to which the tRNAs corresponding amino acid is attached (by aminoacyl-tRNA synthetases). tRNAs cope with the degeneracy of the genetic code in two manners: having more than one tRNA (with a specific anti-codon) for a particular amino acid; and 'wobble' base-pairing, i.e. permitting non-standard base-pairing at the 3rd anti-codon position. Lineage: Bacteria; Pseudomonadati; Caldifarciminota. RNAcentral also lists the same sequence under 1 other name. The record is from RNAcentral.
GUGAGCGUAGCUCAACUGGCAGAGCAUCGGACUGUGGAUCCGAGGGUUGGGGGUUCAAGUCCCCUCGCUCACCCCA